This 253-nucleotide ribosomal RNA is filed under the name uncultured bacterium. RNAcentral describes it as "partial 16S ribosomal RNA". It matches the Rfam family "Bacterial small subunit ribosomal RNA", at positions 524 to 776 of the family's 1533-position model. The record is from RNAcentral.
GACAGAGGGUGCAAACGUUGUUCGGAAUUACUGGGCGUAAAGCGUGUGUAGGCGGCCAUAUAAGUCGGAUGUGAAAGCCCUGGGCUCAACCCAGGAGGUGCACUCGAUACUGUAUGGCUUGAGUACUGGAGAGGUUGGUGGAAUUCUCGGUGUAGAGGUGAAAUUCGUAGAUAUCGAGAGGAACACCGGUGGCGAAGGCGGCCAACUGGACAGAUACUGACGCUGAGACACGAAAGCGUGGGGAGCAAACAGG